RNAcentral lists this ribosomal RNA (404 nucleotides) under Actinomycetes bacterium. Its description in RNAcentral is "Actinobacteria bacterium partial 16S ribosomal RNA". It matches the Rfam family "Bacterial small subunit ribosomal RNA", at positions 355 to 776 of the family's 1533-position model. The record is from RNAcentral. Lineage: Bacteria; Bacillati; Actinomycetota; Actinomycetes.
UGGGGAAUAUUGGACAAUGGGCGCAAGCCUGAUCCAGCCAUGCCGCGUGAGUGAUGAAGGCCCUAGGGUUGUAAAGCUCUUUCACCGGUGAAGAUAAUGACGGUAACCGGAGAAGAAGCCCGGGCUAACUUCGUGCCAGCAGCCGCGGUAAUACGAAGGGGGCUAGCGUUGUUCGGAUUUACUGGGCGUAAAGCGCACGUAGGCGGACUAUUAAGUCAGGGGUGAAAUCCCGGGGCUCAACCCCGGAACUGCCUUUGAUACUGGUAGUCUUGAGUUCGAGAGAGGUGAGUGGAAUUCCGAGUGUAGAGGUGAAAUUCGUAGAUAUUCGGAGGAACACCAGUGGCGAAGGCGGCUCACUGGCUCGAUACUGACGCUGAGGUGCGAAAGCGUGGGGAGCAAACAGG